GUGCUGGGCGGCAGCUACCAUGCAGUCGAGCGGCAGCACGGGGAGCUUGCUCCCUGGUGGCGAGCGGCGGACGGGUGAGUAAUGCAUAGGAAUCUGCCCGGUAGUGGGGGAUAACGUGGGGAAACCCACGCUAAUACCGCAUACGUCCUACGGGAGAAAGCGGAGGAUCUUCGGACUUCGCGCUAUCGGAUGAGCCUAUGUCGGAUUAGCUAGUUGGUAAGGUAAUGGCUUACCAAGGCGACGAUCCGUAGCUGGUCUGAGAGGAUGAUCAGCCACACUGGGACUGAGACACGGCCCAGACUCCUACGGGAGGCAGCAGUGGGGAAUAUUGGACAAUGGGCGAAAGCCUGAUCCAGCCAUGCCGCGUGUGUGAAGAAGGCUUUCGGGUUGUAAAGCACUUUCAGCGAGGAAGAAGGCCUCUGGGUUAAUACCCCAGAGGAAGGACAUCACUCGCAGAAGAAGCACCGGCUAACUCCGUGCCAGCAGCCGCGGUAAUACGGAGGGUGCGAGCGUUAAUCGGAAUUACUGGGCGUAAAGCGCGCGUAGGUGGCUUGGCACGCCGGUUGUGAAAGCCCCGGGCUCAACCUGGGAACGGCAUCCGGAACGGCCAGGCUAGAGUGCAGGAGAGGAAGGUAGAAUUCCCGGUGUAGCGGUGAAAUGCGUAGAGAUCGGGAGGAAUACCAGUGGCGAAGGCGGCCUUCUGGCCUGACACUGACACUGAGGUGCGAAAGCGUGGGUAGCAAACAGGAUUAGAUACCCUUGGUAGUCA
This 769-nucleotide ribosomal RNA is filed under the name Salinicola salarius. RNAcentral's name for it is "bacterial SSU rRNA". It matches the Rfam family "Bacterial small subunit ribosomal RNA", at positions 33 to 796 of the family's 1533-position model. Lineage: Bacteria; Pseudomonadati; Pseudomonadota; Gammaproteobacteria; Oceanospirillales; Halomonadaceae. The record is from RNAcentral.